Vicia faba (fava bean) is the source of this 216-nucleotide non-coding RNA. The record is from the annotation of a GenBank genome assembly. NCBI's taxonomy places the organism in Eukaryota, Viridiplantae, Streptophyta, Magnoliopsida, Fabales, Fabaceae.
AUGUCUAGUGGGAGAAAAGCUCUAAUUUGUGGGAACGAGCUUCCAAUGAGAAUCCAUGUUUCGAGAUCAAGUGCAAACCCAGGAAGAAGAUAUUGGAAGUGCAAACUCUGGGGAACAAUGAUGGUUGUCAUCUAUUUCACCGGGAUGACGAACUCUUUAAUGGAAAACAAGUUGAAUCUAGGUCCGAUGGAGGUUGCUAUAAAUGUGAAAACAUGA